GGUGAGCAGUGCGGUCCCUAAAUAGGGGCUGCUCAGACGCACAGGAGUCUGCCGGAAACAGCUGCCACUCAAUCCCAGCUGCUAACGACCGUUGUCCUGUGCCGCUGACGUGCAGAGUUCCAGCUAAGAGCUUCCAGCUCAUUCAAACCUGCCCCCGUUACUGGACGCUCCAUCGCCGUCAGACUUUUGAGGUCGGAGACUCAGGUAAAGAAGAUACCUGCGCAAUGAUGGUUUUUAGAGUGGCAUGAGGGGUGCGCUUUUCCCAACGCCACUACCUUGAUUGUAAGAAGAUCGUUCCAGUGGCAAGGGAGACCCUAGACGACCGGCAUCUUCUUACAACUGCAGGAAGCUGCCGGAAUCCAGGUUUUUGGGAAACCGCCUCAAAGCUUGCUGCCACCAGCUUGCUUUUCUGUCAGGGUGUGCUCCCUUAGCCUUCGUCCACUUUUACAGCCAUUGUGGUGCUUCUCACUGCUACCAUCUUCUGCCUGUUCUACCGUUGAGGUCUUCGGGAUCACUCUUAGUCUGGACUCUACCCUUCGACCUGUUCGGCAUGGGUAACCCUGCCAGGAGUACAAGACUCCAGCCGACAUAGCUCUAGGGGUCAUGGAGACGCGCAAAGUGCCCCACCACGAUAAGAUGGUGAUCCCGUCGGGACACUAGAAGAAGAGUAGAGUUACAAUAACACACACACACACACACACGCACACACACACAGAAGCAUUAAAUUAAAUCUUGUCAAGGCCACAAUAAAAAGUCAAACAGGAUUACCUUUAGAGCAGUGAUUCUCCCCUGUGUGUUCCUACUUCCCUGUGUUGUAGCCAUGGAACACUUAGUAACAUACAACGAAGACGACUAUUUUUGGACAAAUGAGGAUUCACAACCUUAUACUCCUGAAGUUAAAUAUACUGCUGCUUAUGGAAGCCAGCACGAACAAAGGAAGAGUGAGACGUUGGAGCAGAUGGGAGGUGAAAGCGAUUUUGAAGCUAUAAAUAUGCAACUUGGAGACAAGCAAUUUUUGUGUAGAGGUUGCCCUCCAGUGGGUUUCUCGGACCACCACACUGCCACGAGAGCCCGGAUUUCAGGUCCGUGUCGCUCUCUCUCUGGCUCCCACUCCAACUCCAACUACUUGUCUCGUUCCGGCUGCUGCUGUCGCUGUCUUCGAGGCCGGUCCUUGCACACCCCGUUCCGAGGCAGGCCCGCAGGCCACGCCCCCCUCCACAGAUUGUUUACCGAAAAUCAACAGGAAACAUCCUCGGCCAGCUGGACCAGAUGAACAACUGUCCAUCGAGCAUACGGCCUUCAUUCAGGCCACGGAGCGGGCCUGUGAUCUCAUUGGAGCAGCUUCUGUGCAGGGAUGGAUUCGUCACACAAGGCGAUUCUUCCAACGGGGCCUUGCCAUUGAAGACAUAGCCUGUGAUGUGGAUACACUUUUAUGGCCUGUUCCAGCCAGACAGCGAGAUAAUGUUUAGUUACACUGUUGUUGUUGUUGUUGUUGUUGUUGUUGUUGUUGUUCCUUCAGUUUCUCUUCAGAGUUGCUGUAAGUGUAGGUACUUUGUCUACACUUUACAGUGGUGAGAAAAACUACUAUUUUAUUCUGACUUUCAUUGUUGAUUUAUCUGUUACUGUAACUGAGUAUAGUAAGAAAAUAAUAUUAUUCAGCCUGCAUCAGUCUGCAAUCAGUGUUGUUUUUGUUUGUUGUAUAUAUGUACUUUCUCUGCCUCUGUGUGAAGAAUGUUGUGGGUUUGACCAGCUAUUUCCUGAAAUAGGGUUUUUUACAAAUGUAUUUUGUAGCGAUCACUGUCGCGUCUGACUGACUGCAACACUGCCUGAUCAAUUGAAGACUGGGUUAGUGAGAUGGAAAGAAAACAUCUUUCUUAUAAAUGUGUG
Long non-coding RNA from Entelurus aequoreus (snake pipefish), 1887 nucleotides. RefSeq lists it as uncharacterized. The transcript is spliced from 3 exons. NCBI's taxonomy places the organism in Eukaryota, Metazoa, Chordata, Actinopteri, Syngnathiformes, Syngnathidae. The record is from RefSeq and is a predicted model, not a curated record.